CCUACGGGAGGCUGCAGUGGGGAAUAUUGCACAAUGGGGGAAACCCUGAUGCAGCGACGCCGCGUGAGUGAAGAAGUAUUUCGGUAUGUAAAGCUCUAUCAGCAGGGAAGAAAAUGACGGUACCUGAUUAAGAAGCCCCGGCUAACUACGUGCCAGCAGCCGCGGUAAUACGUAGGGGGCAAGCGUUAUCCGGAUUUACUGGGUGUAAGGGGAGCGUGGACGGCAGCACAAGUCUGGAGUGAAAUGCCGGGGCUUAACCCCGGAACUGCUUUGGAAACUGUGCAGCUAGAGUGCAGGAGAGGUAAGUGGAAUUCCUAGUGUAGCGGUGAAAUGCGUAGAUAUUAGGAGGAACACCAGUGGCGAAGGCGGCUUACUGGACUGUAACUGACGUUGAGGCUCGAAAGCGUGGGGAGCAAACAGGAUUAGAUACCCUUGUAGUC
Molecule: ribosomal RNA, 440 nt
Filed under: uncultured bacterium
Lineage: Bacteria
Description: partial 16S ribosomal RNA
Rfam family: Bacterial small subunit ribosomal RNA
Source: RNAcentral